RNAcentral lists this unclassified non-coding RNA (218 nucleotides) under uncultured Thelephoraceae. RNAcentral describes it as "sequence contains ITS2". Lineage: Eukaryota; Fungi; Basidiomycota; Agaricomycetes; Thelephorales; Thelephoraceae. The record is from RNAcentral.
ACACCUCAACUCUCAUGGUUUGCUGUGAUGAGCUUGGACUCUGGGGGUUUUGCUGGCCUGUGGUCAGCUCCCCUCAAAUGAAUCAGCCUCCCAGUGUUUGGUGGCAUCACGGGUGUGAUAAAUAUCUAUGCUCGCGGUUGUCUGCCAGGUAACCUUUGGUGACAAAGGUUUGCUGGAGCUCACAGAUGUCUCUCCUCAGCGAGGACAGCUUUUUGAAC